RNAcentral lists this ribosomal RNA (459 nucleotides) under uncultured bacterium. RNAcentral's name for it is "partial 16S ribosomal RNA". It matches the Rfam family "Bacterial small subunit ribosomal RNA", at positions 338 to 795 of the family's 1533-position model. The record is from RNAcentral.
CCUACGGGUGGCAGCAGUGAGGAAUAUUGGUCAAUGGGCGUAAGCCUGAACCAGCCAAGUCGCGUGAGGGAUGAAGGUUCUAUGGAUCGUAAACCUCUUUUAUAAGGGAAUAAAGUGUGGGACGUGUCCUGUUUUGUAUGUACCUUAUGAAUAAGGAUCGGCUAACUCCGUGCCAGCAGCCGCGGUAUACGGAGGAUCCGAGCGUUAUCCGGAUUUAUUGGGUUUAAAGGGUGCGUAGGCGGCCUUUUAAGUCAGCGGUGAAAGUCUGUGGCUCAACCCUAGAAUUGCCGUUGAAAAUGGGAGGCUUGAGUAUGUUUGAGGCAGGCGGAAUGCGUGGUGUAGCGGUGAAAUGCUUAGAUACCACGCAGAACCCCGAUUGCGAAGGCAGCCUGCCAAGCCAUGACUGACGCUGAUGCACGAAAGCGUGGGGAUCAAACAGGAUUAGAUACCCCGGUAGUC